GUAAUUCUAGAGCUAAUACAUGCCUACAGAGUUCCAACCGCCUCAUCAGCGGGAGGAACGCUUUUAUUAGAUCAAAACCAUUCGACGAGCGCGGCGCUUCGGCGUCGUCUCGUCGCAAGCACACGAUUCUCCGAAUCGUUCAAGUGGUGACUCUGAAUAACUUUGAGCUGAUCGCACGGUCUCAGUGCUGGCGAUGCAUCUUUCAAAUGUCUGCCUUAUCAACUGUCGAUGGUAGGUUAUGCGCCUACCAUGGUGGUAACGGGUGACGGGGGAUCAGGGUUCGAUUCCGGAGAGGGAGCCUGAGAAACGGCUACCACAUCCAAGGAAGGCAGCAGGCACGCAAAUUACCCACUCCCAGCUCAGGGGAGGUAGUGACGAACUAUAACGAUACGGGACUCAUCCGAGGCCUCGUAAUCGGAAUGAGUACACUUUAAAACGUUUAACGAGGAUCCAUUGGAGGGCAAGUCUGGUGCCAGCAGCCGCGGUAAUUCCAGCUCCAAUAGCGUAUAUUAAAGUUGUUGCGGUUAAAAAGCUCGUAGUU
Molecule: ribosomal RNA, 541 nt
Filed under: Spondyliaspidinae sp. 2 JRC-2012
Lineage: Eukaryota; Metazoa; Arthropoda; Insecta; Hemiptera; Psyllidae
Description: bacterial SSU rRNA
Rfam family: Eukaryotic small subunit ribosomal RNA
Source: RNAcentral